RNAcentral lists this non-coding RNA (30 nucleotides) under Mus musculus (house mouse). The record is from RNAcentral. Lineage: Eukaryota; Metazoa; Chordata; Mammalia; Rodentia; Muridae.
UACAUGUCUGCUCUCACCUUGCUAGGUUAC